GCUCUAAGUAGCUAGCAAGCUGCUUGGAUUAUUUGCAGGUUUAAGUGACCUUGUGGCCUAGUUUGUCCUUGCAAUGGAAUAUCUUGGCAAGUUCAUCGGAGCACCAUCUGCAUAAUUUUUUGAGAAAAUAACAACUGAAAUAUUAGAGUCAUCAAUUGCUUUCAAGAUUGAUGGCUCCAUCUUUUCCCCUCUUUCAAGUCUAUUGUCUAUAAAAGUGCUAACGCCAAGACGAUAAAUCACCAUAGAGAUGGCCAGUAAAAGUGUGGCAGGUAUCUGCACUUCUAAAGCUAAGGAACACAUCAUGUUUUACCGAAUACAAGAUAGCAGAAGAAGAAGAAAUCAUAUUCAAUGAUCUUGUAUACGGUACUUGGUUCAUUUAACUAAGAGAAGGUUGCAUUUGUUUUGUAUAUUAGUGGUAAAGGAAGAUUCCAUUGUAAUUUCCUUAGCCGAGAAAGAGACAA
RNAcentral lists this unclassified non-coding RNA (461 nucleotides) under Hevea brasiliensis (rubber tree). Lineage: Eukaryota; Viridiplantae; Streptophyta; Magnoliopsida; Malpighiales; Euphorbiaceae. The record is from RNAcentral.